This 443-nucleotide ribosomal RNA is filed under the name Streptomyces asenjonii. Its description in RNAcentral is "bacterial SSU rRNA". Lineage: Bacteria; Bacillati; Actinomycetota; Actinomycetes; Kitasatosporales; Streptomycetaceae. The record is from RNAcentral.
UCCUACGGGGGGCAGCAGUGGGGYGCACAAKGGGCCGAAGCCUGAUGCAGCGACGCCGCGUGAGGGAUGACGGCCUUCGGGUUGUAAACCUCUUUCAGCAGGGAAGAAGCGAAAGUGACGGUACCUGCAGAAGAAGCGCCGGCUAACUACGUGCCAGCAGCCGCGGUAAUACGUAGGGCGCGAGCGUUGUCCGGAAUUAUUGGGCGUAAAGAGCUCGUAGGCGGCUUGUCGCGUCGGUUGUGAAAGCCCGGGGCUUAACCCCGGGUCUGCAGUCGAUACGGGCAGGCUAGAGUUCGGUAGGGGAGAUCGGAAUUCCUGGUGUAGCGGUGAAAUGCGCAGAUAUCAGGAGGAACACCGGUGGCGAAGGCGGAUCUCUGGGCCGAUACUGACGCUGAGGAGCGAAAGCGUGGKGAGCGAACAGGAUUAGAUACCCGGGUAGUCAA